UACGAAGGGGGCUAGCGUUGUUCGGAAUUACUGGGCGUAAAGCGUGCGCAGGCGGCUUCUCAAGUCAGGGGUGAAAGCCCAGAGCUCAACUCUGGAAUUGCCUUUGAGACUGAGUGGCUUGAGUACGAGAGAGGUGAGUGGAAUUCCCAGUGUAGAGGUGAAAUUCGUAGAUAUUGGGAAGAACACCGGUGGCGAAGGCGGCUCACUGGCUCAUAUCUGACGCUCAGGCGCGACAGCGUGGGGAUCAAACAGG
RNAcentral lists this ribosomal RNA (253 nucleotides) under uncultured bacterium. Its description in RNAcentral is "partial 16S ribosomal RNA". It matches the Rfam family "Bacterial small subunit ribosomal RNA", at positions 524 to 776 of the family's 1533-position model. The record is from RNAcentral.